Tribolium castaneum (red flour beetle) is the source of this 2735-nucleotide long non-coding RNA. RefSeq lists it as uncharacterized. The record is from RefSeq and is a predicted model, not a curated record. Lineage: Eukaryota; Metazoa; Arthropoda; Insecta; Coleoptera; Tenebrionidae. The transcript is spliced from 2 exons.
UAUAUAGUCCGGGACAUUUCUAUAUGAGAUACGUCAUACCGCAUACCUUGACGCGAGACUAUAUAGAGCACAAAAACUAGAUAAGAGCUCAAAUUUAGGGAACUUGGUUGUUUGAUGUGUUUGACAGAUGACAAAUGUAAACAAUAAUAAAAAUUUAAAUAUUUCUUUAUUGUAGUAAAGUACAGCAAAAUGUACCAACUAGAACACUUAAAAACAAAUGGAGAAACUUUCAAAUGCUUUGAAGUACCGUUGCUGGAGUACUGUUGAGGUUAUGUUUGACCUUGGUAUGACUGUCAGGGUAGUCAUCGUCAUGUUCCAAUUGCAUGCCCCCUCUCUGCCACAUCAGUAAAAUUUGCCACAAAAGUUUUAAAAAACGACUUUAAACAACAAAAAAGGCCCUAUUUUCAUUAACAAUGAGACAUAUCUCGCUGCAUGCGGCACGACAUAGGCCUCAUAGACCAAUCUCAUUGUGAAUGGUUUUCGCUGAGAUCACUUUGAGAGGGUUUCACUGAGACUGACGUUGGCGGAAGGCUGAAACCUGCCUCGCGACAAGCCUUUGCCCCAACAUUCGAAGCUGUCAAUGGCUUAAAAUGAUGAAACUGUGUCAGUUUUUUUGUGUCUUUUGGGAUUAGUCUUUGAGUCCUGUCGCGCCGCAUGUAGCAAAGCAGAUCUCAUUGUGAAUGGGUUCUUUAAGAAACAGUUUCAAUGUACACCACAAGACAUACACUGAGACGGCCUCAUGCCUCAUAUCAUGAGUUGUAAUUGACAGCAUUUUAUAAAAUGAUUUGGAAUCAUAAUGCAGAGAUUGUUGCGAGACAGGCAGGCAGGUCUCAAGCCUACUGCAGAAGUCGCUCUCAGUGAGUCCAUGUCUUAGAGAUGCAAGACCAAUUUAGACCAUUUACAGUGAGAUUGGUGCCCGAGACCUAUGUCAUGCAGGAAGCCAAACUUCAUCGUGAAUGGACCCUUUUCAAUGGGGCUGUGCUUUUUGAAUAAAUUUGAAAUGGCCUUUUUGAAAAAAGCAGUUGUCUCUCUUUUAUUCAUCUAUUCAACACGUUUGUAUUCGAUGCACUUACACCAAUUUCAUUAUCAGUGUCUUGAUUAUCAGGCAAGGGCAAAGUGGAAUUGGGGGCAACACAGAAAUAAAAACACUUUAAUUUCCUUUAUUAGUAGGCUAUAUUUUUUAUAAAAGACGACUACUCCCAGAUAGAGACGUACAAAAAUGUAAACAAGAGUAAAAGUUGGUUUUUCGCAAUAUUUCACACUAUUCUUCCACACGUCCACAGUAAAAUCAGAAAGCGCUUGUUGUUAUAAAGCCCUUAUUAUGUUUUUCGACGAUGGCUGAGACUUUGUGACGUAUUUGUUAAACGUAAGUUUUCAAAUACCCCAUGCCAGUGCAACGGAGUUAUAUUAACAAUUUUAUGGGAUUAUUUUUAACUGUACACCCAUUCUGCUUGAAACAAGAGUCGCUACCAGGAAAUAACAACGAAAAAAGUGGACCCAAAAGGCUUCAGCUGCAAAUUAUAAACACUAUCUGUGAUUUUUUUAAUAAUUAAUUAAUAAAUGUCGUGAACUUACUUUGAAGUAAACAGUGAGCUCCAUCUAUAACUCAUAAUUACUUGAACCGCAAUUCCCAUCAUCAAAAUGUGCAAAACUGCGAUAAGUGAGGUUAUGCAGGUAUGCACUUUGUUUUCCAGUUUUUCACACAAAAUAUAUCACAAAUUGCGCAAAUCAUACAACCAGCGACAGUCAGUACUGUCAGUACGUCGCAGCAGCUUUCUCCAGCACAAUCACUGACUGCAAUUCUGUGUUGUGCCAUUCCCGUCUCAUCAUAUAAUCUAUAAUUGUUAUAUGACAAGUAAUGUUUCUACCUUCAAAAAUACUUGCGUAAAUAUUUUAUUAUCCCGUUAGUACACACUUUUAAAGCAGCCACUGGUUAUAUAGAUUAAAAUUAUAACAUUUCCUUUGUUAUUGUGUUAUUGUUUACAUCAGUCAGCUGUUUACUGUCAUUUUCUAAUGCUACCAAUUUAAAAAAUGUCCCUGUUAUUAAAGCUAAAGGACCAUAGAAUGAGAGAGAGAACAUUUUUUGUUCACAUAGACGCUGAAUAUACGUAUAAAUGUCAGAAAAUUCAAAUUUUUUAUGUCCAAAUAGAAAUGUCCCGGACUGUAAUUGAAUGGUAAAUGAUGCAAAAAGUACUCGAGUCGCGGUGUUCUCCCCUUGCACUCAUCAAUCUGUCGCAAAACGCUGGUUAAAUAAAGUUUAAAGACUUCAAAGAAUCAACAUUACAUUCAUUACUGCGCCAAAGCCGGAAGUAAUGAAUAUAAUUGCGAGCGGAAAAAAGUAUCUCACAAAGCAAACGCAAAACUGAAGGGUGUUCUUAGAGAACGAAUUACGGCAGACAAUGAUGACUGGAAAGCGUUUAGUUUUUCUCUUUAAAUUAAAAAUCGUGCGUUUCUUUGCCAUCUGUAUUUUAGAUUUUCGCUCGACUACUCCGCAAAAAGGUCACGUUGCGAACUUCCAAGUCCCACGUUUCUUGGCGUAUGCAUCGAGAAGAUUAAUUGACGUCAACUUUCGAUUACCGGAAAGAGGGAUACAAUAUCUCCCCGUGUUGGAGAGACAAUAAGAGAAAUGGAACGGCAAAGUGUUGAAAACAUCGGAUGUAAUCCAGAGGUUCAUUUUAAUUUAAUUCCAUUAUGCCUUGAAGAGUGAGAAAUAUAAAGGCUAAUAACAAACAGAA